UAUCAUCCCCAUUAGCAGCUUCCAUCGGCAGAGACCUCCUUCUCUUUUUAGGUGAGUUACUCUGUCACUCAUCUGGAUCACAAAGGCCCAAAGAUGCACCACCUUCCUUCCAUACAUGCAGCUGGGAUGUCAG
Sapajus apella (tufted capuchin) is the source of this 133-nucleotide long non-coding RNA. RefSeq lists it as uncharacterized. The transcript has 3 exons. Lineage: Eukaryota; Metazoa; Chordata; Mammalia; Primates; Cebidae. The record is from RefSeq and is a predicted model, not a curated record.